RNAcentral lists this unclassified non-coding RNA (210 nucleotides) under Hevea brasiliensis (rubber tree). The record is from RNAcentral. Lineage: Eukaryota; Viridiplantae; Streptophyta; Magnoliopsida; Malpighiales; Euphorbiaceae.
AAAAUUUUCCAUUUUGAUACUAUUAAAAAUAAUAUGGUUUCAACAUUAGGAUUUAUCUCUGGUUUCAGUGGAAAUUGACCUUUGCUCUUUUUUAGUUAGUAACAUAAUGUAUUAUAAUGAUAAGUUCAUCAUGUGAAUAUAGUUUCAAUUUUGAUAGUCUUCCAAGUGAAUUUGUUCAUUAGUUUUGUUCAUUGAGUGUAGAAAGAGUUU